This 1186-nucleotide unclassified non-coding RNA is filed under the name uncultured Anabaena sp. RNAcentral's name for it is "bacterial SSU rRNA". The stretch from base 1 to 938 matches the Rfam family "Bacterial small subunit ribosomal RNA", at positions 595 to 1533 of the family's 1533-position model. Lineage: Bacteria; Bacillati; Cyanobacteriota; Cyanophyceae; Nostocales; Nostocaceae. The record is from RNAcentral.
UUAAAGAGUCUAGCUCAACUAGAUAAGAGCAGUGGAAACUACAAAGCUAGAGUUUGGUCGGGGCAGAAGGAAUUCCUGGUGUAGCGGUGAAAUGCGUAGAUAUCAGGAAGAACACCGGUGGCGAAGGCGUUCUGCUAGGCCGAGACUGACACUGAGGGACGAAAGCUAGGGGAGCGAAUGGGAUUAGAUACCCCAGUAGUCCUAGCCGUAAACGAUGGAUACUAGGCGUAGCUCGUAUCGACCCGAGCUGUGCCGGAGCUAACGCGUUAAGUAUCCCGCCUGGGGAGUACGCAGGCAACUGUGAAACUCAAAGGAAUUGACGGGGGCCCGCACAAGCGGUGGAGUAUGUGGUUUAAUUCGAUGCAACGCGAAGAACCUUACCAAGGCUUGACAUGUCACGAAUCUUGUAGAAAUAUAGGAGUGCCUUCGGGAGCGUGAACACAGGUGGUGCAUGGCUGUCGUCAGCUCGUGUCGUGAGAUGUUGGGUUAAGUCCCGCAACGAGCGCAACCCUCGUUUUUAGUUGCCAGCAUUAGGUUGGGCACUCUAGAGAGACUGCCGGUGACAAACCGGAGGAAGGUGGGGAUGACGUCAAGUCAGCAUGCCCCUUACGUCUUGGGCUACACACGUACUACAAUGCUACGGACAAAGGGCAGCUACACAGCGAUGUGAUGCGAAUCUCAUAAACCGUAGCUCAGUUCAGAUCGAAGGCUGCAACUCGCCUUCGUGAAGGAGGAAUCGCUAGUAAUUGCAGGUCAGCAUACUGCAGUGAAUUCGUUCCCGGGCCUUGUACACACCGCCCGUCACACCAUGGAAGUUGGUCACGCCCGAAGUCGUUACCCCAACCGAGAGGAGGGGGAUGCCUAAGGUAGGACUGAUUACUGGGGUGAAGUCGUAACAAGGUAGCCGUACCGGAAGGUGUGGCUGGAUCACCUCCUUUUAGGGAGACCUAAUCCAUUUAGAAAUCGAAAACAAUGAAGAUUGUCAAUAGAAACUAAAGUGGUCUAACCUAGGUCGUUCGAGAUUGGUAGAUAUCUUUCAAAGUAUUAUUCGGCUUUGUUCAAAACCAUAGAUCAUAAAUGGAAAAAAGACAGCACCUAAUUGUCAAAGUUAGACUGCUGGAUGAAAUUCCAGCCAGAACCUUGAAAACUGCAUAAGAGAACGAGAAAAAGCAGGCAGACACAGACA